CCGCCGGCACACACCGACAGCCGCGCCGCUAAUGUUUAGCCCCGGGGGUUCGAUUCCGCUCGGCGGGAAGCGCUCUCGGACCCGGUUGGUGGCGCACAAGGUGACACACGGUGACACCCGGUAAGUUAGCGCUGCGGGCUAGAAAAUACGGCCUGUGCUUCACUCCAAUUAUUAUCCAGCAUGCUGAAGGAGAUCAAACUGAUCAACUGGUCCUCGUAAAGUAGACACGCCUGAGACAGGUACACACACACCAACAAGACACCUCUUUAAAUGAAUAAUUCGGCACAUAACGACCUUCUGGGCUUCAGCCGUUCUCCACCUUGAAUUCAUGAAGAAAGGUUUUCUCUCCAAAGCUUCCACGGUGAGAAUCAGACUGAAAGCUUGUGGGGGAAACACACUUCGACGUGAAACAUCUGACACUGAGUGGCGGCUGCUG
Long non-coding RNA from Gasterosteus aculeatus aculeatus (three-spined stickleback), 436 nucleotides. Lineage: Eukaryota; Metazoa; Chordata; Actinopteri; Perciformes; Gasterosteidae. The record is from Ensembl.